CCUACGGGGGGCAGCAGUGAGGAAUAUUGGUCAAUGGCCGCAGGGCUGAACCAGCCAAGUCGCGUGAGGGAUGACGGUCCUAUGGAUUGUAAACCUCUUUUGUCAGGGAGCAAAGGGCGCCACGUGUGGCGUUUUGCGAGUACCUGAAGAAAAAGCAUCGGCUAACUCCGUGCCAGCAGCCGCGGUAAUACGGAGGAUGCGAGCGUUAUCCGGAUUUAUUGGGUUUAAAGGGUGCGUAGGCGGACUGUUAAGUCAGCGGUAAAAGCCCGGGGCUCAACCCCGGGGAGCCGUUGAAACUGGCUGUU
This 305-nucleotide ribosomal RNA is filed under the name uncultured bacterium. Its description in RNAcentral is "bacterial SSU rRNA". It matches the Rfam family "Bacterial small subunit ribosomal RNA", at positions 338 to 641 of the family's 1533-position model. The record is from RNAcentral.